GGUAAAUCUCGUGCCAGCCACCGCGGUCAUACGAUUAACCCAAGCUAACAGGAGUACGGCGUAAAAUGUGUUAAAGCACACCGCUAAAUAGAGUUAAAUUUUAAUUAAGCCGUAAAAAGCCAUAAUUUCAAUAAAAAUAAGCAACGAAAGUGACUCUAUAACAGCUGACACACUAUAGCUAAGACCCAAACUGGGAUUAGAUACCCCACUAUGCUUAGCCCUAAACACAAAUAAUUAUAUUAACAAAAUUAUUCGCCAGAGUACUACCGGCAACAGCCUAAAACUCAAAGGACUUGGCGGUGCUUUAUAUCCCUCUAGAGGAGCCUGUUCUAUAAUCGAUAAACCCCGAUAGACCUCACCAAUUCUUGCUAAUGCAGUCUAUAUACCGCCAUCUUCAGCGAACCCUAAAAAGGUACAAAAGUAAGCGCAAUCACAACGCAUAAAAACGUUAGGUCAAGGUGUAACCUAUGAAAUGGGAAGAAAUGGGCUACAUUUUCUACACCAAGAACACCCAACACGAAAGUUAUUAUGAAAAUUAAUAACCAAAGGAGGAUUUAGCAGUAAACUAAGAAUAGAGUGCUUAGUUGAACUAGGCCAUGAAGCACGCACACACCGCCCGUCACCCUCCUCAAGUAAAUACAAUGCAUCUAACCCUAUUUAAAUGCACUAACCACAUGAGAGGAGAUAAGUCGUAACAAGGUAAGCAUACUGGA
This 713-nucleotide ribosomal RNA is filed under the name Bubalus bubalis (water buffalo). RNAcentral's name for it is "partial 12S ribosomal RNA". It matches the Rfam family "Bacterial small subunit ribosomal RNA", at positions 495 to 1509 of the family's 1533-position model. The record is from RNAcentral. Lineage: Eukaryota; Metazoa; Chordata; Mammalia; Artiodactyla; Bovidae.